Molecule: unclassified non-coding RNA, 530 nt
Filed under: Hevea brasiliensis (rubber tree)
Lineage: Eukaryota; Viridiplantae; Streptophyta; Magnoliopsida; Malpighiales; Euphorbiaceae
Source: RNAcentral
UGUUGCUGCUGCUGCUGCUGCUGAUACCUUCAUGAAUCCACUAAAUUUGAUCUAUCUUAAUAACCACCCCAUCAUGGCUUCUCCAGAUUUCUUUCGGUAUUGAGAGGAUUCAAAGCUUUAUGGUUGUCUUUUUCUUCUUUAUUUUAUUGGUGGUGUCUGUCCAUGGUCUUAAUUAUGAGAGGACAUGGGGAGUAAAAAAAAAAUCUGGUCUUUCUCCCUAACCCUUAAGUAGCUACUAGUAUGAUGCAAUAUGUCUAUGAGAGAGUGGUAGAAGAAGAAGAAAAGGUAGAUGGAAAAUGAUGAUUUGAGCUUUGGCUUGUAAUGUGUCACUAUAAUUAUGGUGUGAAAAGGAUCUAGAUGUAUUUGGUCUCUCUGCUACCGUAUUAAUAUGUAGUAAUGGUUUUCUCAUAACUGGUGCAGUGCUCAUCUUUGUUUUUAUAUAUGUUUCUAUCCCUCUACUGUACGUAGCCACUGAUAUAUGUCUGUUUAUAUUUUUUAAUAAAACAAAUAUUAAUUUGUACCAGAGAAAA